UGAAAAAAUUUCUACUAGAAGGCCUUACUCAUCAUAAAACAUGUAGUUUUAUUCAGAAGUGUUAAGAUCAGUGUUUUUAGGACUGCGAUACUGCGAACGCAGACAACUUAAUAGUUCAGACUCAAAAUAGCCUUUUCCCCCGUUAUUUUCCAUUCUUUUUUAACCUUAACGUGCAUCUUUUCAAUGGGAAUUGAGUCCUGUCAUCACCAUGCCCCCAAAGUUGAAAGUUUAAGAAACUAAAGUAUGAUGAGGAUUACAAAACUAUAAACAUUGGCAACCUGGAGACUACUCCUGAGAAUUGUUGCUGCACAGCCAAGGAGCCAUAUGGAAAUCUUGGAUUCUUUGUUUUGAAAAGGUUGUCGUUACUUCUACCACCAAAGUUAAGAGACAACGUGAAAUAACUAUUAAUAACAGAUAAGGUGAAGAGACAAACACGGAUUUUUAAAAUUAGAAGUCUACUUGGUACAACAAACAUUGAACAAAUUGGCAGAUAACAUCAGCUCUUUCAGAGAGUUCAACGUGUUACUUUGCUCGGGGUUCUGCAGUGAGUGGGGCUGGCGGUAGCAGAUUUCCCUUUGAAGGGCAGAAACUGCACAGCUCCGUGGAUCAAUUUUUUCAGGCAGAAGGUCAGACCCAACAACUGCAUACCUGCAAAGACCAAAGAUGCACCAAUUCAGCAACAGUUGAGUUGGGUGCGAGUCUGGGAAGGAAGGGAGGAGCUGUUUUGUUUUCUUCCCAGAGAAGGUGACUGAUGGGAUGCUGCUCUGAAGAAGCCUGGAACCUGUUUUUCAGCAGAAAAAAAACCCCUUAUUCUAAAAAAACCCAGGAAACCUUAACUCCCACUGACACUGGAAGAAGCAAUGGGCUCUUGGCAUCUCAGAAAAGCAGACUGCAAGUAUCUCAGAGUGGGCACCCCAGUAUCAAGGUACUCAGCUAAUGAAUGCUGGUGGAAAGGUGACACCUUAAGCCAGCAGAAGUUUGAGAUUUCCUGAAGGAAAACAUUGUGUUCAUGGACUAAGCUGGCAAAAGGCACAGAGUAAAAAAACCUGAGUAAAGAAGAGGAUGAGAGGAGACAAGUAUUUUAUUUUUAAACCUUAUGAAUUUCUGAGAAGUUCUGCUUUGCUGCUUUCCUAGGGAAAAAGACAAGGUUAGGAAAACAGGAAUUUCAGACUAUCCUAGCGCCCUGAUACUGUGAUAAAGAACUAUAUUACCAUUAAUUGAUGCUUCUGAGUGCAUUGGCAUUGAUUUAAUACAACCACACUCUUUAUGCAGAGAACAUUCUAUUCUCAGAGGGUAAUCUAGACCCAUGCAAACAAUAUAGAUGUUUCCUGAUAACAUGAUUUAGAAAG
Molecule: long non-coding RNA, 1349 nt
Filed under: Struthio camelus australis
Lineage: Eukaryota; Metazoa; Chordata; Aves; Struthioniformes; Struthionidae
Description: lncRNA (ENSSCUG00000011490.1)
Source: RNAcentral